CCCCCCACCCCCUUCUUCCCAGCCUUCCUCCUUCCUCCUCCUCCUCGCCUCACCGUCACUCUCAAACAUCCCCCCCCCCCCCCCCCCCAGCCGCCCCAAACUCCUUCCUCAGGACCGUGGGAUGCUGGGGAGCUCUGGUGAGAGUUGCUGGUCUCCAUUUCCAAGCUGGGAGCCGCCGGCAGCGCCUAUUUUACCAUUGCGGACAAGAUAGGCAGAAAAAGGAGCGUUUGACUUGGAGGCUGCCCCCGAUUUUAGUCCAAAGGAGCUGCUUUUGGGAACUGGGUGUCCGGCUCCGGUGUUUGCCUGCUGAGGAAGAGGCUCACUCUGUUCUCCAGUCUUGUUACGUGGAUUUCUCUCUCUCCGAGUAA
This is a long non-coding RNA of Aquila chrysaetos chrysaetos, 368 nucleotides long. The record is from Ensembl. NCBI's taxonomy places the organism in Eukaryota, Metazoa, Chordata, Aves, Accipitriformes, Accipitridae.